GUAGGUGGCAAGCGUUGUCCGGAUUUACUGGGCGUAAAGGGCGUGUAGGCGGUCCGCUAAGUCCGGUGUGAAAUCUCCCGGCUCAACUGGGAGGGGUCAUCGGAUACUGGCGGGCUAGAGGAGGGCAGAGGAAGGUGGAAUUCCCGGUGUAGCGGUGAUAUGCGUAGAUAUCGGGAGGAACACCAGUGGCGAAGGCGGCCUUCUGGGCCCAUCCUGACGCUGAGGCGCGAAAGCGUGGGGAGCAAACCGGAUUAGAUACCCGGGUAGUCCACGCCUAAACGUUGGACACUAGGUGUGGGGGUGUCGACCCCCCUCUGUGCCGUAGCUAACGCAUUAAGUGUCCCGCCUGGGGAGUACGGCCGCAAGGCUA
Molecule: ribosomal RNA, 370 nt
Filed under: uncultured organism
Description: partial 16S ribosomal RNA
Rfam family: Bacterial small subunit ribosomal RNA
Source: RNAcentral